AAAAGGCGGCGUAAGCUGUCGCUAAAGGAUGGACCCGCGGUGCAUUAGCUAGUUGGUAAGGUAACGGCCUACCAAGGCGACGAUGCAUAGCCGAGUUGAGAGACUGAUCGGCCACAUUGGGACUGAGACACGGCCCAAACUCCUACGGGAGGCAGCAGUAGGGAAUCUUCCACAAUGGGCGAAAGCCUGAUGGAGCAACGCCGCGUGAGUGAAGAAGGUUUUCGGAUCGUAAAGCUCUGUUGUUGGUGAAGAAGGAUAGAGGUAGUAACUGGCCCCUAUUUGACGGUAAUCAACCAGAAAGUCACGGCUAACUACGUGCCAGCAGCCGCGGUAAUACGUAGGUGGCAAGCGUUGUCCGGAUUUAUUGGGCGUAAAGCGAGCGCAGGCGGAAAGAUAAGUCUGAUGUGAAAGCCCCCGGCUUAACCGAGGAAUUGCAUCGGAAACUGUGUUUCUUGAGUGCAGAAGAGGAGAGUGGAACUCCAUGUGUAGCGGUGGAAUGCGUAGAUAUAUGGAAGAACACCAGUGGCGAAGGCGGCUCUCUGGUCUGUAACUGACGCUGAGGCUCGAAAGCAUGGGUAGCGAACAGGAUUAGAUACCCUGGUAGUCCAUGCCGUAAACGAUGAGUGCUAAGUGUUGGGAGGUUUCCGCCUCUCA
RNAcentral lists this ribosomal RNA (654 nucleotides) under uncultured bacterium. Its description in RNAcentral is "bacterial SSU rRNA". It matches the Rfam family "Bacterial small subunit ribosomal RNA", at positions 202 to 842 of the family's 1533-position model. The record is from RNAcentral.